CCUACGGGAGGCAGCAGUGAGGAAUAUUGCUCAAUGGUCGGGACACUGAACCAGCCAAGCCGCGUGAGGGAGGAAGGUUUUGGGAAUGGUAACUCCUUUUGUUCAAGAAACUUAUGACGGUAUCUGACGCCUAAUCACCGUCUAACUCCGAACCAGCAGCCCCGGUAAUACGGCGGCUGCAACCGUUACUCGGAAUCACUGGGCGUAAUGCGGGCGUAGGCGGGGUAAUAAGUCAGAUGGGAAAUCCUGGAGCUUAACUACAGAACUGCAGUUGAAACUGGUACUCUGGAGUGAGGGAGAGGUAGGUGGAAUUCGUGGUGUAGGGGUAAAAUCCGUAGAGAUCAAGAGGAAUACUCAUUGCGAAGGCGACAUGCUGGAACAUUACUGACGCUGAUGCACGAAAGCGUGGGGAGCAAACAGGAUUAGAUACCCCGGUAGUC
This 440-nucleotide ribosomal RNA is filed under the name uncultured bacterium. RNAcentral's name for it is "partial 16S ribosomal RNA". It matches the Rfam family "Bacterial small subunit ribosomal RNA", at positions 338 to 795 of the family's 1533-position model. The record is from RNAcentral.